GAACCGCUCUGAAACUGCUGACACAGCAGAAGGGAGAAGCAGCAGCGGCGUGAUCCCCGGCACGGCAUCGCACACGGGCCAGCGGGAGGAGGCAUGUAGCCUUGGGACAGCGGAGGUGACCCAGGGCUGAAGGCAACCAAGUGGACUGCGACUCAAGGUUUGAGGGGGAUCUAUCUCACAAAUGAGUACAAACCUUGCACAUGCCAGCACUGGAUUUCUUCUCUGGAGGAGAAUCUCCUGGCCUGCAUGUACCUUUGGCUCUCCAAAAUCAUAUUUGAAUGAAGAAAAUCUUCCUUCAGCAGAAGCAAGGACUUGUCCUGGUUGGAAGCAGGAGCAGGGAGGCAGUCUGAUGGGGAUAUGCCUGGUCAGAGCUACAAGGAGCUGCUGCUGCUGCUGGAUGGACUUCAACUUUGUCUUGAUGUGGAGGAGAGCAAGAAUGCUGUCAAGGCCAGGCAUCAGUCUUUCUGUUGCAAACUCCAGGCAUGAUUGGUUUGGGUCCAAUUCUUCAAAGUUCUUUGCAGACUAAGUGGCUCUACUGAGGUGACUCUUUGGGAAGGUGCCUUGCUCUGCCACCUCCCUCUUAGGCUGGAUGGCUCCUUGCGUCUCCCAGCCAGCUGAGCAUGCUGUGCAAAACUGCCAUCUCCAGCACUGUGCACAGAGCACCGUGUAAACAAAAGGCUGUAAGCAUGCUGCCUCACAGCCUCCAGAGCAAAGGUGGCCCCAGGGCACUUGCCAUGGAUUUUCCACCCACAGGUGCCACCACCCUUCCGGAAGGAAGCAGUCAGCCUUGUUUUGAGCAGCUGCCUUGCAAAUGCAUCCUCUCUAGCAUGCAGCUGCCUGACCCGGGACAAAGCAACCUGUGGCCUCAAGGAGUGAAACACAGCAUUGAAAACUGAAAGUGUUGCACACAGACAGAGCAAGGGAUACUCUCCACCAGCUCCUGUAACAAGCACCUUCCUGCUUUUCAGUCUUUGUCAGGAAAAGGAAUGAUCUCUAUAGUUUAUUAUCCUGCCUGGUGCUGCCUUUGCAUCUGCUGCAGAGCAGAAAUUCAAGGAGAUUGAUGCAGACCUUGAUCUGCUUUGUGGAAAUACUUCUACUGUUUUCAGGUUAGGUAAAGGUGUUUUGUUAACGGAUCCUACCUGCUGACACUAAAGAACAUGAGAUUCUCUCAGAUUUUUUGCCAGCAUUCCUCAUACUUUUGUGUUGCUUCAAACAGGAAACAAUGCUCAUGGAAAAGCUUCUAGCAGCUCCAGAAUGAGUCCCUGGAAACUUGGUGAGCUAGUUGCAAUGCAGACUUCAGAAGUGCUCUUACCACAUGUGCUACCUCUUGGAAGCCAAGGAGGGAUUCCUAGGGCCAGGAAGAGAGAGUGUAUGCCACCAUGUGGCAGUAGAUUCCCAAGUGUGGAGCUCAGGAAAGCUUCAGGCAGGACCAGCUCAUUACUCAGGCAGGAGGAUGGCCUGGCCAUCACAGGCAGAACUUCAGUGAGGAGCUAUGACCUUCUGUGCAUGGACAGGGAAGUGCUGUACAGGCAGCCUGUCCCAUCUUCAAGGGCACCAGCCAUCCCCUCCAUGAAGAUAAGAUUUAUUCUGCAAUUGAGUAGCCCUGAAAUUUACCAUGGAAGACAAUAUUGAUCUGAGAAUUGUGUUCUAGUACCCAAGACCCAUUAUUCACAGUGACAGCCUGCAGAGCUGAAAAUAAACAAAGAACAAAGUCAAAUCAAGUAGCUUUGGACAGAAACCACCCCGCCUCCAGGCAGAAAACAACUUCUAAGCAAGAGAGACAACUUCUGAGGAAGAAACUCUUUUGGAAGCACAUUAUCCUACUGACGCAAAGCUUCUUGUCUUUCUCUCAGAAGCAGCUAAAAACCUGCCUACUAGAAAACUUUGGGCAAGAUGGAGGCUUACCUUCUUAUCGUCUACAUUU
Long non-coding RNA from Poecile atricapillus (Black-capped chickadee), 1924 nucleotides. RefSeq lists it as uncharacterized. The record is from RefSeq and is a predicted model, not a curated record. The transcript has 5 exons. NCBI's taxonomy places the organism in Eukaryota, Metazoa, Chordata, Aves, Passeriformes, Paridae.